GAGUGCUUGCUACUUUGCCGGCGAGCGGCGGACGGGUGAGUAAUGUCUGGGAAACUGCCCGAUGGAGGGGGAUAACUACUGGAAACGGUGGCUAAUACCGCAUAACGUCUUCGGACCAAAGUGGGGGACCUUCGGGCCUCACGCCAUCGGAUGUGCCCAGAUGGGAUUAGCUAGUAGGUGGGGUAAUGGCUCACCUAGGCGACGAUCCCUAGCUGGUCUGAGAGGAUGACCAGCCACACUGGGACUGAGACACGGCCCAGACUCCUACGGGAGGCAGCAGUGGGGAAUAUUGCAC
RNAcentral lists this ribosomal RNA (295 nucleotides) under Serratia aquatilis. Its description in RNAcentral is "partial 16S ribosomal RNA". It matches the Rfam family "Bacterial small subunit ribosomal RNA", at positions 68 to 369 of the family's 1533-position model. Lineage: Bacteria; Pseudomonadati; Pseudomonadota; Gammaproteobacteria; Enterobacterales; Yersiniaceae. The record is from RNAcentral.